CCGAAGUCAUCAAUUUACUCUUUAUGGCAUUCAUUAUUCCCUGGAGCUUAGCAUCUUUUGUGCAAAAUAUUGUAAUUGUUCAUAAACCUGUUUGGCUUACAAGUUUACAGUUUUUCUUUGUGCAAAGUGUCUGAUGGAAACAUAAUUUUCUUGUAUAAAUUUGGACUAAUCACAAUUCACUGACUGGUCAUAAUCAAAUAGCAAGAUUACUGCAAUAGAGUAUGUGGUCUGAGGUAGUGAUUCUACAUGUUUGAUGUUUAAAACCAAACACCCUGGAAUUCAAAAACACAACACUGUCAAUGAUUUUAGCACAUUGAGUAGGAAGGCAUAGGCUAUGAAGUUGUUCUUUUUUGUAGUGAUUCUCUUGAAGUAGAAUAUGGCUUGUAUGUGGUUCUUGUGAGUUGUACUGCUAUUUCCAAUUUGGGGAAGAAUUUCUGGGUGUGUUUUAAUGACUAUAAGAAUGCUUAAAAGGAACUUGAAGAACAAUGACGUUCGUACUCAACUGUUCUAUAACCUAGAAGCAUAGUAGCGGAAGUCUUUGUCUGUAUACAUUGACAAAUGUGUAUCUGAUACAUGUGCGCUUACAUGUGUGUAGAGAGGGUGUGCACAGG
This 611-nucleotide long non-coding RNA is filed under the name Marmota monax (woodchuck). Lineage: Eukaryota; Metazoa; Chordata; Mammalia; Rodentia; Sciuridae. The record is from RNAcentral.